UACGGAGGGGGCAAGCGUUGUUCGGAAUUACUGGGCGUAAAGGGCGCGUAGGCGGCUUAUCAAGUCAGGCGUGAAAUUCCCGGGCUCAACCUGGGGGCUGCGCUUGAUACUGGGAGGCUUGAAUCCGGGAGAGGAAUGUGGAAUUCCAGGUGUAGCGGUGAAAUGCGUAGAUAUCUGGAGGAACACCGGUGGCGAAGGCGGCAUUCUGGACCGGUAUUGACGCUGAGGCGCGAAAGCCAGGGGAGCAAACGGG
RNAcentral lists this ribosomal RNA (253 nucleotides) under uncultured bacterium. RNAcentral describes it as "partial 16S ribosomal RNA". It matches the Rfam family "Bacterial small subunit ribosomal RNA", at positions 524 to 776 of the family's 1533-position model. The record is from RNAcentral.